RNAcentral lists this ribosomal RNA (253 nucleotides) under uncultured bacterium. Its description in RNAcentral is "partial 16S ribosomal RNA". It matches the Rfam family "Bacterial small subunit ribosomal RNA", at positions 524 to 776 of the family's 1533-position model. The record is from RNAcentral.
UACGUAGGGCGCAAGCGUUAUCCGGAAUUAUUGGGCGUAAAGAGCUCGUAGGCGGUUUGUCGCGUCUGCCGUGAAAGUCCGGGGCUCAACUUCGGAUCUGCGGUGGGUACGGGCAGACUAGAGUGAUGUAGGGGAGACUGGAAUUCCUGGUGUAGCGGUGAAAUGCGCAGAUAUCAGGAGGAACACCGAUGGCGAAGGCAGGUCUCUGGGCAUUAACUGACGCUGAGGAGCGAAAGCGUGGGGAGCGAACAGG